RNAcentral lists this ribosomal RNA (467 nucleotides) under uncultured bacterium. RNAcentral describes it as "partial 16S ribosomal RNA". It matches the Rfam family "Bacterial small subunit ribosomal RNA", at positions 28 to 507 of the family's 1533-position model. The record is from RNAcentral.
GACGAACGCUGGCGGCGUGCUUAACACAUGCAAGUCGAACGGAAAGGCCUCUUUCGGGGGGUACUCGAGUGGCGAACGGGUGAGUAACACGUGAGUAACCUGCCCUUGACUUUGGGAUAACUUCAGGAAACUGGGGCUAAUACCGGAUAGGAGCUCCUGCUGCAUGGUGGGGGUUGGAAAGUUUCGGCGGUUGGGGAUGGACUCGCGGCUUAUCAGCUUGUUGGUGGGGUAGUGGCUUACCAAGGCUUUGACGGGUAGCCGGCCUGAGAGGGUGACCGGCCACAUUGGGACUGAGAUACGGCCCAGACGCCUACGGGAGGCAGCAGUGGGGAAUAUUGCACAAGGGGUGGAAGCCUGAUGCAGCAACGCCGUGUGCGGGAGGACGGCCUUCGGGUUGGAAACCGCUUUCGCUCAUGACGAAGCUUUGUGUGACGGUAGUGGGUAAAGAAGCACCGGCUAACUACGUG